AACGAGCGCAACCCUUGUCUUUAAUUGCCAUCAUUGAGUUGGGUCACUUUAAAGAGACUGCCGGUGUUAAACCGGAGGAAGGUGGGAUGACGUCAAGUCCUCAUGGCCUUUAUGCCCAGGGCUACACACGUGCUACAAUGGGUGGUACAAAGAGAUGCGAUCUCGCAAGAGCAAGCAAACCUCAAAAAGCCAUCCUCAGUUCGGAUUGGAGUCUGCAACACGACUCCAUGAAGUCGGAAUCGCUGGUAAUCGCGGAUCAGCACGCCGCGGUGAAUACGUUCCCGGGCCUU
This 290-nucleotide ribosomal RNA is filed under the name uncultured Syntrophaceae bacterium. Its description in RNAcentral is "partial 16S ribosomal RNA". It matches the Rfam family "Bacterial small subunit ribosomal RNA", at positions 1091 to 1382 of the family's 1533-position model. The record is from RNAcentral. Lineage: Bacteria; Pseudomonadati; Thermodesulfobacteriota; Syntrophia; Syntrophales; Syntrophaceae.